AAGUGAAGUCAGUGAGGUACACUCGUGGUAGUUUCAUCUUCCCUGGGGCUCAGCCAUAUCCACAUCGUCACUUCUCUGAAGAAGUAGCCGUGCUUGACAGCUAUUUCGGUAAGCUUGGUGCAGGCAGCAGUGCAUAUGUGAUGGGUAAUGCUGAUAAACAACAGAACUGGCAUGUCUAUUCUGCUUCAGUUGAAUCUGCCAAUGCCAAUAACCCGAAUCCAGUUUAUACACUGGAGAUGUGCAUGACUAAUCUGGACAAGAAGAAGGCAUCCGUAUUUUUCAAGACUCACUCAAGCACUGCUGCUGAGAUGACUGAAGUUUCAGGCAUUCGGAAGAUCCUUCCAGAAUCAAACAUAUGCGACUUUGACUUUGAUCCCUGCGGUUACUCAAUGAAUGCUAUCGAGGGGCCAGCAAUCUCUACAAUUCAUGUCACACCUGAGGAUGGAUUCAGCUAUGCAAGUUUUGAAGCAGUGGGUUAUGAUUUCAAAGACGUAAACUUGACUGCCAUGAUCGAGAGGGUGUUGUCCUGCUUCGGACCUGCUGAGUUUUCUGUAUCACUACACUGUGACACUCCUGGGAAGGAACUUUAUACUGAGUCCG
This 600-nucleotide long non-coding RNA is filed under the name Nicotiana tabacum (common tobacco). Its description in RNAcentral is "long non-coding RNA (NTAB_LNC012295)". The record is from RNAcentral. Lineage: Eukaryota; Viridiplantae; Streptophyta; Magnoliopsida; Solanales; Solanaceae.